GAGACAUAGUGGAGGUUAACAGAAUGACAGAUGGUGCAUGGUUGUCGUCAGCUCGUGUCGUGAGAUGUUCGGUUAAGUCCUGCAACGAGCGCAACCCUUAUCCUUAGUUACUACCAUUUAGUUGAGCACUCUAAGGAGACUGCCCGAGUAAUCGGGAGGAAGGUGGGGACGACGUCAAAUCAUCAUGCCUCUUACGAGUGGGGCUACACACGUGCUACAAUGGACGGUACAAAGAGAAGCGAAGUGGUGACAUGGAGCAAACCUCAAAAAACCGUUCUCAGUUCGGAUUGAAGUCUGCAACUCGACUUCAUGAAGUCGGAAUCGCUAGUAAUCGUAGAUCAGCUACGCUACGGUGAAUACGUUCUCGGGUCUUGUACACACCGCCCGUCAAACCAUGGGAGCUGGUAAUGCCCGAAGUCGGUUUAUAAAGAAACUGCCUAAGGCAGGACUGGUGACUGGGGUUAAGUCGUAACAAGGUAUCCCUACGAGAACGUGGGGAUGGAUUACCUCCUUUCUA
This 517-nucleotide ribosomal RNA is filed under the name Mycoplasmopsis bovis. RNAcentral describes it as "bacterial SSU rRNA". It matches the Rfam family "Bacterial small subunit ribosomal RNA", at positions 1003 to 1533 of the family's 1533-position model. The record is from RNAcentral. Lineage: Bacteria; Bacillati; Mycoplasmatota; Mycoplasmoidales; Metamycoplasmataceae.